GCCUGAUUGGCUCAGUCAGUAGAACAUGGGAUUCUUGAUCUCGGGUUUGUAAGUUCGAGCCUCACAUUGGGUG
RNAcentral lists this transfer RNA (73 nucleotides) under Ailuropoda melanoleuca (giant panda). It matches the Rfam family "tRNA". From Rfam's summary of the family: Transfer RNA (tRNA) molecules are approximately 80 nucleotides in length. Their secondary structure includes four short double-helical elements and three loops (D, anti-codon, and T loops). Lineage: Eukaryota; Metazoa; Chordata; Mammalia; Carnivora; Ursidae. The record is from Rfam by way of RNAcentral.